GUUGAACGGCCACAUUGGGACUGAGACACGGCCCAGACUCCUACGGGAGGCAGCAGUGGGGAAUAUUGCACAAUGGGGGAAACCCUGAUGCAGCGACGCCGCGUGGAGGAAGAAGGUCUUCGGAUUGUAAACUCCUGUUGUUGAGGAGGAUAAUGACGGUACUCAACAAGGAAGUGACGGCUAACUACGUGCCAGCAGCCGCGGUAAAACGUAGGUCACAAGCGUUGUCCGGAAUUACUGGGUGUAAAGGGAGCGCAGGCGGGAAGACAAGUUGGAAGUGAAAUCCAUGGGCUCAACCCAUGAACUGCUUUCAAAACUGUUUUUCUUGAGUAGUGCAGAGGUAGGCGGAAUUCCCGGUGUAGCGGUGGAAUGCGUAGAUAUCGGGAGGAACACCAGUGGCGGAGGCGGCCUACUGGGCACCAACUGACGCUGAGGCUCGAAAGUGUGGGUAGCAAACAGGAUUAGAUACCCUGGUAGUCCACACCGUAAACGAUGAUACUAGGUGUUGGAGGAUUGACCCCUUCAGUGCCGCAGUUAACACAAUAAGUAAUCCACCUGGGGAGUACGACCGCAAGGUUGAAACUCAAAGGAAUUGACGGGGGCCCGCACAAGCAGUGGAGUAUGUGGUUUAAUUCGACGCAACGCGAAGAACCUUACCAAGUCUUGACAUCCUGCGACGGACAUAGAAAUAUGUCUUUCCUUCGGGACGCAGAGACAGGUGGUGCAUGGUUGUCGUCAGCUCGUGUCGUGAGAUGUUGGGUUAAGUCCCGCAACGAGCGCAACCCUUAUGGUCAGUUACUACGCAAGAGGACUCUGGCCAGACUGCCGUUGACAAAACGGAGGAAGGUGGGGAUGACGUCAAAUCAUCAUGCCCUUUAUGACUUGGGCUACACACGUACUACAAUGGCGUUAAACAAAGAGAAGCAAGACCGCGAGGUGGAGCAAAACUCAGAAACAACGUCCCAGUUCGGACUGCAGGCUGCAACUCGCCUGCACGAAGUCGGAAUUGCUAGUAAUCGUGGAUCAGCAUGCCACGGUGAAUACGUUCCCGGGCCUUGUACACACCGCCCGUCACACCAUGAGAGCCGGGGGGACCCGAAGUCGGUAGUCUAACCGUAAGGAGGACGCCGCCGAAGGUAAAACUGGUGAUUGGGGUGAAGUCGUAACAAGGUAGCCGUAGGAGAACCUGCGGCUG
This 1195-nucleotide ribosomal RNA is filed under the name metagenome. RNAcentral describes it as "bacterial SSU rRNA". It matches the Rfam family "Bacterial small subunit ribosomal RNA", at positions 299 to 1520 of the family's 1533-position model. The record is from RNAcentral.